Molecule: long non-coding RNA, 872 nt
Organism: Aegilops tauschii subsp. strangulata
Lineage: Eukaryota; Viridiplantae; Streptophyta; Magnoliopsida; Poales; Poaceae
Source: RefSeq, a predicted model, not a curated record
CCUGCCAAGGCGCUCUACGGAGGCGGCGGCGGCGGCGUGCUCCACCGCAUUCCGCCCCAAUCCGGCGGGCUCCGUCCGCCUGCUCCGGCGAAGUCCGGCCGCCUGCCCCGUCCACCUCCUUUUCAACCACCCGGACCUCCUCCCGCCGGCAUCCCCCGUGGGAACGGCCUCCUCCGUCGCCUGCCUACAACGGCGAUGCAUUUCUCCAGGCGCGCGCAGAUGGGCGGGCCGGAGCAGCCCCAGCCACGGCCGACGGUCCCGGCGGACUCCCUCCCCUCCCUGCCCCGCGGCCAGGAACCCGCCGACGUCAUCCGCUCUGUCAUUCCCCUUCUUCCAAUUCCGGCCAAUUGGAUCCCUGCGGUCAUACUCAGGACAUCCAAGUAGGGACUUGAAUUCAUGGACAUGGCAUCAUCCUUAUUACUCCUACAAGAGACAUCCCCGGCCGGCCGGCGGCAGUACGGUGACGCAAAGAACCGGUCCGACGUCUGCUCCCUGCCUCAGCAAGCAAGCGAGGGUGCGUGUAGAUUUGUGACCCAACUGAAAUAAUUCUGUGCCGGAAGAUUUUGCUGCUGUCCUGGCCAUCUUGAAGACGUUUGGUGAUGCAUCCAGGCUGAGAACUAACAUUGCGAAGAGUGUGGCUUAUCCUACUUCCUGUGAUGGUAUCGAAUUAUAUCGUAUACUGUGUGAUUUUGGUGGAGUGCAAGCUUAUUGGCCAUGGGUAUCUGGGUUUGCCUGUAGGGUUCAGAAAGCCGAGCUAUAGCCGGUUGUGCUUGACUAGGCUGCCGGCAAGCUCUCGCCAUGGAAAGAGUGCCUUCUCAACAGAACAUGGAAGACUGGUGCUUAUUAACUGGGUGGUGACUGCAAAUGCUACA